RNAcentral lists this long non-coding RNA (446 nucleotides) under Helianthus annuus (common sunflower). Lineage: Eukaryota; Viridiplantae; Streptophyta; Magnoliopsida; Asterales; Asteraceae. The record is from RNAcentral.
GUGGAUUAAACUCUCCGCGACAGUACCGACAUGUUUACGUACAGUUUCCCGGUCUGUAACCGGGUCAAAGAUUGCAAGAUUGUGAUAGGAGUUGGAGUCCGCCACUGAACCGAAUGGAAAAGACCGAAAAGACAAACGGAGUCGGGUGCCUUCCAGAGCUUGAGGAUGCGGUAGACGUGGUAGAGGUGGUCAGAGAAGGUUCCUAACCGGUGCCAGCACUCGCCUGCACCGGCUGAACGUAAGAUGGUCAAGAGGGUUGGCAGGUUUUUGUCGACUGACUCGAUGUCUUCGCGGAGAAACGGGCGAGAUGAUUCAAUGAGAUCAUGUAGGUGUUUGUUGUUGGCAUGAGAGAUAGAUGAUGAAGUUGGCAUGUUUGUGAUGAUUCGGUACGACCGAUCUGGUACGCGAUACGCAGGUAUUUUAGCGUUUCCUGUGACUAUGGUUUG